This 410-nucleotide ribosomal RNA is filed under the name uncultured Nitrososphaerota archaeon. RNAcentral's name for it is "bacterial SSU rRNA". It matches the Rfam family "Archaeal small subunit ribosomal RNA", at positions 451 to 861 of the family's 1478-position model. Lineage: Archaea; Thermoproteati; Nitrososphaerota. The record is from RNAcentral.
UCUGGUGUCAGCCGCCGCGGUAAAACCAGCACCUCAAGUGGUCAGGAUGAUUAUUGGGCCUAAAGCAUCCGUAGCUCGUUUUGUAAGUUUUCGGUUAAAUCCAUGCGCUCAACGUAUGGGCUGCCGGGAAUACUGCAUAACUAGGAAGUGGGAGAGGUAGACGGUACUCGGUAGGAAGGGGUAAAAUCCUUUGAUCUAUUGAUGACCACCUGUGGCGAAGGCGGUCUACCAGAACACGUUCGACGGUGAGGGAUGAAAGCUGGGGGAGCAAACCGGAUUAGAUACCCGGGUAGUCCCAGCUGUAAACUAUGCAAACUCAGUGAUGCAUUGGCUUGCGGCCAAUGCAGUGCUGCAGGGAAGCCGUUAAGUUUGCCGCCUGGGAAGUACGUACGCAAGUAUGAAACUUAAAG